CCACGGAGACCAUGCAUCCCUCUCGGGAGGCAGCGCGACUGUAAACAACGCUGCCGCGUGCAAGUCAGGCCACUGGCAACACGAUCGAAUUGCGGGGACCUCCUAAAGCUCUACUUACUACCUGCCCUCGAAAGAGGGUAGUACAGUUAUAAUAGUAGAGAUACUACAAUGGACGAUCCGCAGCGAAGACCCUAAAGCGAGAGCUAUGGGUAACGUUCACAGACUAGGUGAUUGUGGGUAGUACCGAACG
Molecule: unclassified non-coding RNA, 250 nt
Filed under: plant metagenome
Description: partial contains small subunit ribosomal RNA, internal transcribed spacer 1, and 5.8S ribosomal RNA
Source: RNAcentral